CAUGGCUACUGUAUCCAACACCGCUGGCACUCUGCACUGACAGCUGACGCAUUUGACCUGGCUCCCAUUAGCUCCAUCACCACCUGGAUAUCGCUGAAGGGAUCACAGCAGGAAAUUACUUGUGCUUGUCAGUUGAUUGUGCAGUGAAGAGACCGGUGGGGCUCAGAGCUGAAGAUCUCUAUCCACCGACCAGGGAGAUUGAAAGGCAGUGCGAUGGAACGGGCACGGCCGCUCCCUGACCUCUGCCUUGACCUUGACCUUGAGCCCCCGGCCUCCCAGCGAGUGAGAGAAAGCCCACAAUGCAGUGGCCUGAUCUGGCCGGCCUUGGCCAUCACCCUCCACCCUUCUAAACAGGAAGGUGGUGCUGCCUGUGGAUGAAUCAGCAUUUCGAAGGACCGGUCUUGCCCGCCUGCUUGAAUUCUGUUUGACUUUUUGCGUAGAUAAUGCUCCUCUCUCUAGGGACCUAGAAAGUCUUGCCUCAGAAUAAAAUAAAAGGUCAAGCAGCCUACACUGUUUCUACCUAGUAAAACCACAAAAGUGAAAAGCUGAUAGCUCUGUGGGCCCCACGUUGGGGUGUUUGCUGUGGUCUCUGCUGCUGUGGCACAGCCCUGACAGUGGCGUUUCUUGGCUUCAAUUAAUGAAAGAGUAACGGAUGCCCAGGCACACAUUUUCAGGUGCCAUAGGACCAAAAUUUAGCAUGGCACCAAUGAGGCUUCCCUGUUAGAGUACAGGAGAUGUAUUAGUUUUUCCUAGCCAGAAUUCAGACUCACAUAUAUGUAAACAUCAGACACUGUAUUUGGCACUUUCAUGCCCAUCAUCCACAUGUACUUAGGUCACUCCAAGGCAAUAACCCGUUAUUAAACAGCCUUGAUCU
Molecule: long non-coding RNA, 874 nt
Filed under: Homo sapiens (human)
Lineage: Eukaryota; Metazoa; Chordata; Mammalia; Primates; Hominidae
Description: HSALNT0253588
Source: RNAcentral